ACUGCCCAGACCUCCGCCCUAUUCUCUCGCUCUGAUUCUACUGGCAGGCAGAGGGACUAGAGAAGAGAGAUAAAGAGCGGCCGGCUCCCUCAUUGAGAUUUAAAGCGAUCUGGGGUUUCUUUCCCUCAAUAAUGGCAUGAGGUCACUUGGCUUUUGUCAAGGGCACCAGAAAUGAAGUGGGCUGUUCUGCUCGGCUUUGACUUCAAUUCAGCAACCCAGAGUGCACAUUCCACAGAAGCUGUUCGUCAUCGGCAUCAUCACCAUCAUAGCAGCCAAUACUGACCGGACUCUCAUUAUAUGCCAAGCACUGGGGAGCCCCCCCUGCCAGGCCAGCAGUCACCCUGGAACUCAUCAGAGGCCCCAGGAUGCUGCUGUAGGACAGCGCGGAGAUACUGAGCAGCGGUGUUUUAUGCCUCGGCCUGCAGGGCUAUGGAGGUUAAGAGCACAGUGUCAGAGAAGCCUAGAGGACAGAGGAAGACUCUGCCCCUUCCCAGGGAGGCUGCCCAGGGGUGGUGGCCAUUGAGCUGGCUCUCUGUACUUCUAUGUGUAUGGUUAAAAAAAUAAAAAUAAAAGCUCAGGCUGGGAGAGCUUGCUCAUAUUGUCCAGCACGGAAUCUUACAUCAACAACUACAAUACUGAUCGUAAGAAUAACUUCCU
Molecule: non-coding RNA, 657 nt
Organism: Vicugna pacos (alpaca)
Lineage: Eukaryota; Metazoa; Chordata; Mammalia; Artiodactyla; Camelidae
Source: RefSeq, a predicted model, not a curated record